UUUGGGAUUGCCGAAAACCAAGUAACAGAGUAGGCA
Molecule: non-coding RNA, 36 nt
Organism: Chitinophaga sancti
Lineage: Bacteria; Pseudomonadati; Bacteroidota; Chitinophagia; Chitinophagales; Chitinophagaceae
Source: Rfam